RNAcentral lists this ribosomal RNA (311 nucleotides) under uncultured eukaryote. RNAcentral describes it as "partial 18S ribosomal RNA". It matches the Rfam family "Eukaryotic small subunit ribosomal RNA", at positions 1470 to 1796 of the family's 1831-position model. The record is from RNAcentral.
CCCCUAGACGUUCUGGGCUGCACGCGCGCUACAAUAAUACGCACCGCGAGUAUCACCGAGCUCGAAAGGGCAAGGUAAACAAUAGAAAAGGUACUGUAAUGGUUAUAGAUCCUUGUAAUUAUUGAUCUUCAACGAGGAAUUCCUAGUAAGUAUGUGUCAUCAUCACGCACUGAUUACGUCCCUGCCCUUUGUACACACCGCCCGUCGCUCCUACCGAUUGGGUGAGCCGAUGAAACUCUCGGAUGUAGGCUAUUCAUAGCCCGCAGAAGAGAUUUGAAUCGUAGCGCUUAGAGGAAGGAGAAGUCGUAACA